This 460-nucleotide ribosomal RNA is filed under the name uncultured bacterium. RNAcentral describes it as "partial 16S ribosomal RNA". It matches the Rfam family "Bacterial small subunit ribosomal RNA", at positions 338 to 795 of the family's 1533-position model. The record is from RNAcentral.
CCUACGGGAGGCAGCAGUGAGGAAUAUUGGUCAAUGGACGCAAGUCUGAACCAGCCAUGCCGCGUGCAGGAAGACGGCUCUAUGAGUUGUAAACUGCUUUUGUACGAGGGUAAAUCCCGAUACGUGUAUCGGGUUGAAAGUAUCGUACGAUUACGGAUAGGCUAACUCCGUGCCCGCAGCCGCGGUAAUACGGAGGAUUCAAGCGUUAUCCGGAAUUAUUGGGUUUAAAGGGUGCGUAGGCGGUUCGAUAAGUUAGAGGUGAAAGCCCGGGGCUCAACUCCGGCACUGCCUCUGAUACUGUCGGGCUAGAGUUUAGUUGAGGUAGGCGGAAUGUAUGGUGUAGCGGUGAAAUGCAUAGAGAGCAUACAGAACACCGAUUGCGAAGGCAGCUUACCAAACUACGACUGACGUUGAGGCACGAAAGCGUGGGGAGCAAACAGGAUUAGAUACCCUUGUAGUC